GUUGACUUGUACCCAGAUUGCCUCAGGCCUGCAAAUCUUCUUGGAUAUCAGGUGAAGUUUUGUCAAGUGUACAUAUUAGUCCUGGUACCCUGUCAACAAACAAUCCCAGACAAUGAGGCUUCUUCUGGCAGUUCUUGUGGUUUCCCUGCUUUUUGCAGCUGGUUCCUCACAGCCAGCUCCUGAUAAAACUAACAUACAAAAGAGGGAAGCAUUUGUUGACUUUGUGAUCCCUGAGUCAGGUUUUCUGAAAAAAAGAGAUUUAAGGCCAUUACGUCUUGGUGCCAUUUAUAAUCCUGGUAUAUACUGAAUUGCUUCUGCUUUCUGUUGCAACCAAAAACGGCACUGAAGUUUGAUGGAAGACUGAAAGAAAAUAACUAUGUCUGCUGAUGAUCUCUCCUGCUACAAUGCAGCAUUACUAUAACAGUUUCUCUGCAACUUACUGUGGCUAUAAUAACUGCACAAAUUUCAAAAUAAUAUAUGUAAUAAAGCAUGUGAGUUGAUU
This is a long non-coding RNA of Protopterus annectens (West African lungfish), 502 nucleotides long. RefSeq lists it as uncharacterized. NCBI's taxonomy places the organism in Eukaryota, Metazoa, Chordata, Ceratodontiformes, Protopteridae. The record is from RefSeq and is a predicted model, not a curated record. The transcript is spliced from 5 exons.